GAUGAACGCUGGCGGCGUGCCUAAUACAUGCAAAUCGAGCGAACAGACGAGGAGCUUGCUCCUCUGACGUUAGCGGCGGACGGGUGAGUAACACGUGGAUAACCUACCUAUAAGACUGGGAUAACUUCGGGAAACCGGAGCUAAUACCGGAUAAUAUAUUGAACCGCAUGGUUCAAUAGUGAAAGACGGUUUUGCUGUCACUUAUAGAUGGAUCCGCGCCGCAUUAGCUAGUUGGUAAGGUAACGGCUUACCGAGGCAACGAUGCGUAGCCGACCUGAGAGGGUGAUCGGCCACACUGGAACUGAGACACGGUCCAGACUCCUACGGGAGGCAGCAGUAGGGAAUCUUCCGCAAUGGGCGAAAGCCUGACGGAGCAACGCCGCGUGAGUGAUGAAGGUCUUCGGAUCGUAAAACUCUGUUAUUAGGGAAGAACAAAUGUGUAAGUAACUAUGCACGUCUUGACGGUACCUAAUCAGAAAGCCACGGCUAACUACGUG
Molecule: ribosomal RNA, 497 nt
Filed under: uncultured bacterium
Lineage: Bacteria
Description: partial 16S ribosomal RNA
Rfam family: Bacterial small subunit ribosomal RNA
Source: RNAcentral